This 423-nucleotide ribosomal RNA is filed under the name uncultured bacterium. RNAcentral's name for it is "bacterial SSU rRNA". It matches the Rfam family "Bacterial small subunit ribosomal RNA", at positions 355 to 796 of the family's 1533-position model. The record is from RNAcentral.
CUAGGAAUCUUGGGAAUGGGCGAAAGCCUGACCCAGCAACGCCGCGUGGGCGAUGAAGGCCUUCGGGUCGUAAAGCCCUUUUGCAGGGGACGAUGAUGACGGUACCCUGCGAAUAAGCCACGGCUAACUACGUGCCAGCAGCCGCGGUAAUACGUAGGUGGCAAGCGUUGUCCGGAUUUACUGGGCGUAAAGGGCGUGCAGGCGGUUUGUUAAGUCUAGGGUGAAAGCUCCCGGCUCAACUGGGAGAGGUCCUUGGAUACUGGCAGACUUGAGGAGGGUAGAGGAGAGUGGAAUUCCCGGUGUAGUGGUGAUAUGCGUAGAUAUCGGGAGGAACACCAGUGGCGAAGGCGGCUCUCUGGGCCCUACCUGACGCUGAGACGCGAAAGCGUGGGGAGCGAACCGGAUUAGAUACCCCUGUAGUCC